AAAGGUCCUGAUGUGAAAGCCCCCGGCUCAACCGGGGAGGGUCAUUGGAAACUGGGAAACUUGAGUGCAGAAGAGGAGAGUGGAAUUCCACGUGUAGCGGUGAAAUGCGUAGAGAUGUGGAGGAACACCAGUGGCGAAGGCGACUCUCUGGUCUGUAACUGACGCUGAGGAGCGAAAGCGUGGGGAGCGAACAGGAUUAGAUACCCUGGUAGUCCACGCCGUAAACGAUGAGUGCUAAGUGUUAGGGGGUUUCCGCCCCUUAGUGCUGCAGCUAACGCAUUAAGCACUCCGCCUGGGGAGUACGGUCGCAAGACUGAAACUCAAAGGAAUUGACGGGGGCCCGCACAAGCGGUGGAGCAUGUGGUUUAAUUCGAAGCAACGCGAAGAACCUUACCAGGUCUUGACAUCCUCUGACAACCCUAGAGAUAGGGCUUUCCCUUCGGGGACAGAGUGACAGGUGGUGCAUGGUUGUCGUCAGCUCGUGUCGUGAGAUGUUGGGUUAAGUCCCGCAACGAGCGCAACCCUUGAUCUUAGUUGCCAGCAUUCAGUUGGGCACUCUAAGGUGACUGCCGGUGACAAACCGGAGGAAGGUGGGGAUGACGUCAAAUCAUCAUGCCCCUUAUGACCUGGGCUACACACGUGCUACAAUGGACAGAACAAAAGGGCUGCAAGACCGCAAGGUUUAGCCAAUCCCAUAAAUCUGUUCUCAGUUCGGAUCGCAGUCUGCAACUCGACUGCGUGAAGCUGGAAUCGCUAGUAAUCGCGGAUCAGCAUGCCGCGGGUGAAUAAC
RNAcentral lists this ribosomal RNA (790 nucleotides) under Bacillus pumilus. RNAcentral describes it as "bacterial SSU rRNA". It matches the Rfam family "Bacterial small subunit ribosomal RNA", at positions 583 to 1370 of the family's 1533-position model. Lineage: Bacteria; Bacillati; Bacillota; Bacilli; Caryophanales; Bacillaceae. The record is from RNAcentral.